This 253-nucleotide ribosomal RNA is filed under the name uncultured bacterium. RNAcentral's name for it is "partial 16S ribosomal RNA". It matches the Rfam family "Bacterial small subunit ribosomal RNA", at positions 524 to 776 of the family's 1533-position model. The record is from RNAcentral.
UACGUAGGGCGCAAGCGUUAUCCGGAAUUAUUGGGCGUAAAGAGCUCGUAGGCGGUUUGUCGCGUCUGCCGUGAAAGUCCGGGGCUCAACCCCGGAUCUGCGGUGGGUACGGGCAGACUUGAGUGCAGUAGGGGAGACUGGAAUUCCUGGUGUAGCGGUGAAAUGCGCAGAUAUCAGGAGGAACACCGAUGGCGAAGGCAGGUCUCUGGGCUGUAACUGACGCUGAGGAGCGAAAGCGUGGGGAGCGAACAGG